UACGUAGGUGGCAAGCGUUGUCCGGAAUUAUUGGGCGUAAAGCGCGCGCAGGCGGUCCUUUAAGUCUGAUGUGAAAGCCCACGGCUCAACCGUGGAGGGUCAUUGGAAACUGGGGGACUUGAGUGCAGAAGAGGAAAGCGGAAUUCCACGUGUAGCGGUGAAAUGCGUAGAGAUGUGGAGGAACACCAGUGGCGAAGGCGGCUUUCUGGUCUGUAACUGACGCUAAGGCGCGAAAGCGUGGGGAGCAAACAGG
This 253-nucleotide ribosomal RNA is filed under the name uncultured bacterium. Its description in RNAcentral is "partial 16S ribosomal RNA". It matches the Rfam family "Bacterial small subunit ribosomal RNA", at positions 524 to 776 of the family's 1533-position model. The record is from RNAcentral.